AAAUACCCUAAUCCGUUGCAGCCGGGUCCUGCACCAACGCUCCAGCUUAAGGACGGUGGCAGCGAGCCAGGUCUGGUGCCAAGCUCGGCGACUGCGCCCGUUGAAGGUACAGAUCCAGCCUCGACCCUCUUGUCCCGGCAUUCUAGUUGCCCCGAUGGAUCUUGUUCUCAACUACGAACUUGUGGGGCAGGUUCUCCAAGGUACUCUGUUCCUACGUCUAGAUGAAAACCUCACUCCAUUUUUGGUCCUUCCCCAACCAGCCCAUUCUCCAGACGUCGCCCGAACCCCCACAUCUAGCUCCGCCAUCUGGGAACGUCGAAGAAAAAAAUCUUCACUCUUCACGUAUGCUUGCAUGUGAGGUUGCUACCAAUUUUCAUACAGUUGAUUCCAUAGCAUUUAUUCAGGAAAUCAUUUUGUUCAACUUUUACUGCAAAUUGUCCAUUUCAUCUACUCCUCAUAGGCAAGUACAUAAUAUUGUACAUCUACGCCGAAGAAGCAAAUCUCCUCUGCAUCGUAAAGAGAUUUGUACUUGGACAGUCUGAAAGUACCAAAUAGUCUGCUAAUAUUAUGUACCAAAUUUUAGACUUGUGCUGGGACAGUCUGAAAGUACUCUACAAAGGAAAAUUUCAGACUCGAGCUUAGAUAAUCUGG
RNAcentral lists this long non-coding RNA (651 nucleotides) under Hordeum vulgare. RNAcentral's name for it is "long non-coding RNA (HVUL_LNC014140)". The record is from RNAcentral. Lineage: Eukaryota; Viridiplantae; Streptophyta; Magnoliopsida; Poales; Poaceae.